RNAcentral lists this transfer RNA (67 nucleotides) under Marmota monax (woodchuck). RNAcentral's name for it is "tRNA.Ala". It matches the Rfam family "tRNA". From Rfam's summary of the family: Transfer RNA (tRNA) molecules are approximately 80 nucleotides in length. Their secondary structure includes four short double-helical elements and three loops (D, anti-codon, and T loops). The record is from RNAcentral. Lineage: Eukaryota; Metazoa; Chordata; Mammalia; Rodentia; Sciuridae.
GGUUGUGGCUCAGUGGUAGAGUGCUGGCCUAGCAUGUGAGAGACCCUGGGUUUGAUCCUCAGCACCA